GGGCCUGUAACUCAGAGGAUAGAGUGUUUGCCUCCUAAGCAAAAAGCCAUGGGUUCAAAUCCCAUCAGGCUCG
Molecule: transfer RNA, 73 nt
Filed under: Candidatus Aenigmarchaeota archaeon ex4484_52
Lineage: Archaea; Nanobdellati; Candidatus Aenigmatarchaeota
Also listed under: 1 other name
Description: tRNA-Arg
Rfam family: tRNA
About the family: Transfer RNA (tRNA) molecules are approximately 80 nucleotides in length.
Source: RNAcentral